Molecule: ribosomal RNA, 751 nt
Filed under: uncultured marine bacterium
Lineage: Bacteria
Description: bacterial SSU rRNA
Rfam family: Bacterial small subunit ribosomal RNA
Source: RNAcentral
UUACACAUGCAAGUCGAACGGUAACAUUGGUGCUUGCACCAGAUGACGAGUGGCGCACGGGUGCGUAACGCGUAUGCAAUCUACCUUUUACUGAAGAAUAGCCCAGAGAAAUUUGGAAUAAUCCUUCAUAAUAUCAUUUAUCAGCAUUGAUUUAUGAUUAAAGCUCCGGCGGUAAAAGAUGAGCAUGCGUCCUAUUAGUUUGUUGGUGAGGUAACGGCUCACCAAGACUACGAUAGGUAGGGGCCCUGAGAGGGGGAUCCCCCACACUGGUACUGAGACACGGACCAGACUCCUACGGGAGGCAGCAGUGAGGAAUAUUGGACAAUGGAGGCAACUCUGAUCCAGCCAUGCCGCGUGCAGGAUGACUGCCCUAUGGGUUGUAAACUGCUUUUAUAUAGGAAGAAACACUCCCACGUGUGGGGGCUUGACGGUACUAUAUGAAUAAGGAUCGGCUAACUCCGUGCCAGCAGCCGCGGUAAUACGGAGGAUCCAAGCGUUAUCCGGAAUCAUUGGGUUUAAAGGGUCCGCAGGCGGCCUGUUAAGUCAGAGGUGAAAGCCAACAGCUCAACUGUUGAACUGCCUUUGAUACUGAUAGGCUUGAGUUAUUGUGAAGUGGUUAGAAUGUGUGGUGUAGCGGUGAAAUGCUUAGAUAUCACACAGAAUACCCAUUGCGAAGGCAGAUCACUAACAAUAUACUGACGCUCAUGGACGAAAGCGUGGGGAGCGAACGGGAUUAGAUACCCCGGUAGUC